AUCGCUUCUCGGCCUUUUGGCUAAGAUCAAGUGUAGAAAAAGAUGAUAGCCUCAUAAGAGAUUAUUUUUAAAGGAAUACUCAGUUGCUCUUCCAUGUUUGUUAAAAAUACUACUGAUGUUAUUUUAUGAUCAUACUUU
This is a small nuclear RNA of Macaca fascicularis (crab-eating macaque), 138 nucleotides long. Its record names the gene U2. It matches the Rfam family "U2 spliceosomal RNA". From Rfam's summary of the family: U2 is a small nuclear RNA (snRNA) component of the spliceosome (involved in pre-mRNA splicing). Complementary binding between U2 snRNA (in an area lying towards the 5' end but 3' to hairpin I) and the branchpoint sequence (BPS) of the intron results the bulging out of an unpaired adenosine, on the BPS, which initiates a nucleophilic attack at the intronic 5' splice site, thus starting the first of two transesterification reactions that mediate splicing. The record is from Ensembl. Lineage: Eukaryota; Metazoa; Chordata; Mammalia; Primates; Cercopithecidae.